This is a long non-coding RNA of Globicephala melas (long-finned pilot whale), 7672 nucleotides long. RefSeq lists it as uncharacterized. NCBI's taxonomy places the organism in Eukaryota, Metazoa, Chordata, Mammalia, Artiodactyla, Delphinidae. The record is from RefSeq and is a predicted model, not a curated record.
GGAAAGGGAGGGAACCGGGAGGGCGCCCCAGCGGGACAUCCAGGCGGGGGCCGAGUAGGUGUUUUCUCCCCCGCCCCCGGGCACGCAGCGAGAGCUGAGGCUGCCGGAAAGCUCGGCCGGCACAGGGCGCGGAGGAUCGAUGACUCGGCCGGUGGGCACGGCUACCUGGUAUUCAUUGAUAUUGCCUGGAAAGAAAAUGAAGACCAAAGACAUGGCUACACUCUUAAUGUUUUAAAAUAAGGUGCUUUUGAAGUAAAGACCUGAUGGAAGUGACAAGCCAGCCUUGAGGAUGUCUGAGGGACAGCUUUCAAGACAAGGGGUCCUGAGAUGAGAGGGUGCCUGGUGUGUCUGAGGAGCAGCCUGGAGGUCAGCUGGGGGCUCAGCUCUGUGCAGCUUCACUCUGGGACCCAGGCUGCCCGGAGAAUCCCCAUCUGGAGCAUGGCCAGUCUCUGUGGGAGAGGGAGAAGAUAGAGUGGUGAACUGCGCACUGGCUUAUGCCCGAAAGGGACACACGACCCUUCUCCUCACGUGGCACUGGACAAAGUCAGUCAGGUGGCUGCACCCAACUUCAAAAGGUAACAUACCUGUUUUGGCUAUAACAACCUGUGCUGGACCACCUUCCUACACAGAUACGCCUCUCACCCCAUCUGGGCUCUGAAAUAUCCUCUUCACCCUGCCUCGACGCCAACAUCUCGCACUAGGCUAUGCCUUUGCAAGAACACUCCCCUCACCCCACGUGGGCUCUGAAACCUCCUGCCGGGCUGCCCCUCCCACCCUCAAUCCUCAGCCCACCUGGGCCACCCUGCGCUGAGCCAUCCUCUCAGCCUGCUUUGGCUCUGACACUGAGCUAAGCUGACCCUCUGCAGCGGUGGCUCUCUUGAGCUGCCUGGGCACUGGCACCAGCUAUCCCACUCGUGGGAUGCCCUCCUCACUCCACUUUUGCAGUGUUCUAAUUCUUUAAAGAUUUCUAUUAUCUAUGUAUAUAGUAUCAGUUUUUCCUCAAACUAGAGGUCUGUGUAUGUAUUAUUGAUGAUCCAUCAGUAAUAAUGUGUUUUCAUUUCAAUGAUGAUCGAAAAAAAACUUACAUUAUAAAAUAUAAGCAUAUCUGGGAUGUUCGUUUUAUAACCACAUACUUUUAGUGUUGGUGCUUUGUGUUUAAAAUUGGGUUGGUACCGUGUGAUUAGUAAUGUGUCAAUAUUUAACUUUUAAACUGGUGGUAGUUUUAGAUUGGCAUUCCUGGCAUCAAAAUACAAAAACCAUCUUGAUUUCUGUUCAGUAAAAAUUAUAUUGCGUUUUCUUACCAACUAUAAAUCUAAAACUGCUCACUGAUGAGAUUUAUGUCUUUAUUUAAUAAAUUAAUUUUGACUUUCCAUCAUAAAAAUAACCAUGCUACUUUAAUUGUCACAGGCUGAUGAAAAAAGAACUGAGCUGGCUGACUUGAUACACAAAUGAUGUACUCAUGCAAAGUGAAGGCCAAAUGAAUCAUGGCACUGGUAUAAGUGAAGUUUUACAAUAGUUCAAAUAGAGGAAAGUAGAGAGAAAACUGAGUCAUUACAGGUCUCUUGGUAUCAUAUAUUGAACUCAAAAGAAGCUAGGCAAAACAGCCACUUUUUUCAGAUUAUUGACAGAUGUGUUUGUGUGUGUGUGUUUAUAUGGCAUAUCAGCUUGCAAAUAUUCUCCAUGAAGGACUUUUGUUAGGAGCUUUUUAAAAAAAUAAUUAUCAAUAUUAUAUUUUGGAGAAAACCAUUUUUAGAUGAGUUGGACCAAUUAAAAUAAUCAACUGAUGGUUUCAAAUGAGUAACCUGAUGGAAGGAAAAAUUAUGGUAAUGAUAAUGAUUGCGAAUCAAAGGACUGUCCAUCAUGCUCAUAAUCAAAUAUUUAGGUCAACAAUUGAGACAUAAAAUGCAUAAAAGCAUCUUAUUAUGCUUUUAUAAUUACAUGUAUACAUUGUAAUUAAAUCCAACAUUGGCUACUUAGUUUCAGCAAAACUUUACCACUUUUACACUAAAUUAAUGUUUCUUAUUUGAAUUUAUCUGGUGAUCUUGUUUUUAUCUAGCUUGUUAAAUUUGAUUUCUUCUUAUGGUUUGUUUUAAUUGUGGUAAAGAAAACACAUAACCUAAAACUUACUGUCUUAACCAUUUUUAAGUGUACAGCUUGGUAGUAUUGAGUAUAUUCACACUGUGUGCAACAGACGUCUAGAACUUUUUCAUUUUGUGUACUUAUAGUUUUUAAUGAGCUAUAAGUAUAAAGCAUUUAUACCUAAUUAUACAUUGGCACGUAUUUAAGGAACAAGAUGAUGAAAAUUAUUUAAGUCAACAUAAAAGGUGGUCUCAAGAGAACUUUUUCCUUUUGGGAAAAAAGGAAGAGGUUUAAGAAACACUAAUCAAUAUGGUAAUUAACUUCCAAUCUAAAUGUUUGCUUAGGCCCACCCCCACUUUUCUCCCUGGCUGGACGGUUCACAGUGGACUGGGAGGAAAAGGCAGUGAUACCUCAUUUCUUGGAAAAGCAGAGCCAGGGGAGAGCAUAGCAGUUUUCCCAACCUGAAUUCAAAACUUGCUUUUAAGUAAUAGGUAUAAUAUGAACACAAUACUGCCUUUCAAAUUACUUUUCAAAAUAGUUUCAAAUCCAUUUUCCUAAUUUUGAGGCCCCGUUGUGAAUCUCUAAAGUUAGUUUCCUUUAAAGUCAAACCUCAUUGCCAAGUUUGAUGUGUUAUAACUCUAAUCGUCCAAGCCAGUGCUGCUGGAGUUUUGCUCCUUAGCAAGAUGCUAGAGGAAGAAGGCUGUCUCCAGAUGCUGUGAUUGUUCUGAGUCUGCUAUGGCCUCUUGCAGGCCUUAUUAAGAAAACAAACUGUGCUGAUUAGUUUCUCUGAAAAACUAGACGGAAGUUUUCAGCUUAAAAGCUCAUAUGCUGACCUCUCCUAAGGCUUCAUUUUUAAAAUGAAAGUUUGUUGUUAGGAUUUGCUAUUUGACUUUUUAGAAAUAAGAAAAUAUCCAAAGUUCCCAUAAGUAAUCAUUAAUUAUGAGGUGGAAAGCAAGAAGGAAAGGGCAAGAAAGGAAGGAAAAUUUAUCAUUUACUCUGUGCCAGGCACUAUUCUAGAAGCUUUAUAUCACCCGUCUUACCUUGUCCCGACAACCUCCCUAGGAGUUGGUUCUGUUGUCCCCAUUUCAAUGGCUGAGACUCUGAGAGGUAAAGUAACUUGCCAAAGAUCACGGAGCUUGUAAGCGAACAGGUUUGAUUCAAACUCAGGGUUGUCUGAUUACCACUCACUCAAGUACGAAACACGUCAAGACACAUCACAGAUCAGCUUGGUCAGUUUUCUGCCACAGAUUUUGUCUGGGGAAACUGGACCAUGCCGAUACUCAUUCAUGGAGAAAGUCUCUCUGCCCAUUCCAGCACAUUAUCAUUCUCUGCUCUCUCGCUCAGUUACUUGUAUAUUUAGCUGACAGACUCAACUUCGAACACUCCCCAGACCCUACCCAACAGAGUGCAGAAAUCCCUUUGCUCUCUCGCAGCUGAUCCCAGUACCGGCUAGGUUUCUGCUCCCCCAGAUGUGGAGGCUGCAGUGUAAAAAGCACUUCCUCAUCUUGCAACUACAGUAUUGUCUGGCGCUUCUUGAGGCACAGGUCUAAGCUGCUGUCUAGAGAGGCCUGAUGUAUGCCCUGUGGGCUGCACUGUCAUUUACUGGUUUAAUAUGCACACUCUGUGAUGCAUUUUUAUACUUUCCCAUUUCUUAAAUUCUGUCUCCUAACUCAGAUCUCAUUUACAUGGUGAUUUAUAGGGCCUGAAUAUUAUAAUCUAAAAGGUGUAUGUGGAGAGGAGGAGUGAGCACAUCUUCUAUUUAUUAGGAAAAGUCUCCAAUCAUCUGCUUCUUUGAAAAUCUGACCUUGAAACUGCAUAAUGAGAGCUCAGUCCCCAGUCAUAGUGAGGAGCAGGGAAAAGGGACCAGCUGGUCUGUUUGCUUAGCGUCUACUGUACGCUGCCUUGGGUAAUCUCUUUUCACAUGACGGCCUCUCUCCCCAGUUAGAUUUUAAAUAAUUGGAGGGCAAGAGCAUGUAUCACUGACCUCUGUGCCAAGCAUAAGCCCCUUGCACAUAGUAGGCAUUUAGUAAAUAACUGGAUGUUGGUUGCUGAUCUGUGACUGACUGCUGCUUAAACCUCCCCAUUCCCCACCAUACCCCUGACCUUUCUGGUUUAGCUUUUACGUGACAGUUUCAUUAGAAAUGGUAGCAGGAUGGAACCAGAACUUUCAUGCACACACUGGGAUAUCAGAGACUUCUGCUUCACGUGUCUUUUCAAAGAAUAAGUAUAGGCUAGUAUCCAAAGACCUAGUUUAGAAUCUUGAAUUUUAAAAACUUGACUGUGGGAAAGCCCUGCCCACUCACUUUGGAAUGCCCCCGCCCCCUCUUAAGCAUACUACACAGCAUGGUUUAGUGCCUGGACUUGGUGAUACCCCUUUGCCUAGGAGGGCUAGUGCAUGAAACCCUUUCCACGCUGACACCACAGCUUAAAUUCAUUCUUCAGGCAGCCAUUAUUUUUUCUUAUUAGGGUCAAAGAUAAGGUGAUGUGUGGAGGGGCAGCCGGGGCAUCGUCUGGGGGGACAAGACUCUACCAGAGGAGCAGGAGCUGAUGCUGGGCAUCUCAUUGGAGGCAAGAAGGAGCCCAUACAGAAGCAGGGGAUGGGGUUUAGGUGCUGUGGAGCAUUAGCUGCUGCCCCGACUGCACAAUUCUCCUCAGGCUGGCUGUUUUGCCCAAACCUAGUCUAGAACUGUCCAUGUUCUAGGAGCCUCUUAUGAAUGAGCAUCUUGCUUUGAAAAUCAAUUUGAAGCCAGAGUGGAAGUUUUCUUUUAGUCACAAAGUGAGAGCAAUGAAAAUAGGACUAUCCUGCUGUAUUAUUUUUGGCCUUGUAACAGUGCAAAGUCAACUUUUCUUUCUGACUCAGGAGCGUUUUAUAAAAUCUCCACGUUUUGUGUGCAUUUCAGACCCGAGAAUCUGCCACCCCAGACCCCAUUGUGAGGGACGAUUUAAAGUUCAGGGAAACAGCAGCUCUCUGCAAGUUUCUGAGUAACUGAACUUUGUUAUAACAACAGAUUGGAAGAUAGAAUCUGUUAAUCUCUAAACUCAGGGAACCCUUGACCCCUAUCCCGGGUAACACAGGAUGCUGAAAAUUGGUCGGGUCCCUAACUCACCUUCUCACAUUUCUCCUCUCCCUGGAAGAACGCAGCUUUUGACCACCGUGCCAGCUUGAGAGCAGGGCCUCCCUGUCACGCCUCCGUGACUGCGUGACCAGGUGGAUUUCUGUGCCGGGCGUCGCCUGGAAGGUGGCAAAAGCCAGACAGGUACCUGUGGCCCAGCUGCUGCUCAGCUACGAGGCUGGCAGCCAAGCCGGGCGGCAGCUUCUCGAAAGCAGCCCUUUUGAUGACACCGAUUACAUUUCCCUCACUAGAGCCUUGGACUGAUUGAGCAACAGCCAGCUUCUCUGGGUAACAAAGAGGAGGGGAAAGUAAUCCAAACACAGGUUUUAUUAUAAAAACCUGGGAGUGAGAGAAGUAUAUUUAUUCUGUAAGAUAACACACCUGCUCAGUGCCCAGGAGGCUCAUUUCCAUCAGUUGCCAUGGCAAACUCGUUAUACUUCAAGGCCAUGUGGCUUUGUUUCCUUUUGAGAUCUGGUCCUUGUCCUACCUUUCCUAACAACUGCAACACAAUGACAUGGAGGCCUGCGGCAGCAUAAUUGAUUUCUCCUUCCCUCUAUCAACGGUUCACAUUUGUUCGGCACAGGACUGAGCCUGCCUCUUCCUUUGAACUCCUGGCUAACCAUGAAGGCAUGCUUCAGAGAGCCGUCCUCAUUAACAUUCCAGGUCUCCCUUCCCCGUCAGCGAUAAACAAGCCCCGCAUCAACGGCCUCCUUCCUUCCAGCUUUACAAAUGAGUGGCUCAGCUCCAUGUUUCGCUGCCGAUCCAGGUGCCCAGGCGCACAAUGCGGGGCUAAGAAGCACGCUGGAGAGACUAAAAAUAGAACAGCAGUUUUGGACGCAUACCAGAGCAGCUACUUCAUCUCAACUUGCUUUGCACACUAAGCCUAAUGGGAUCCAUCAGGCAUGAGUUCUCUCCCUCUCGCCCUCCCUCUCCCUCUCCCUCCCCGCCGCCGCCCCCCCACCCCCCCCAUCUACCGUCAGCACCUUCCUGGUGAAGGCAGCAAAGGAGGUCAGGCCAGGGACAAGAAGCGUGUGCCCUCCUGGUCUUAGUUUACGAGUCCUGGGAGAUCUGGGGGCUGCAAUUACUCUUUCCGUACAAGCGUUUCUAGAAAAGAGCAGGCAGGUCCAGAACAUGGUCACCUUUGCCCAGGUACACUUCGCUCCUCCAAGACUUUCAUUGUUCAGCAAAGGCUCAACUAUCACUUCCUACACACCCCAGUAAGCAUGACCUAGCCCCAGACUCAGAAGCUUCUUGGGCAGUUAAAUAGAGAACUACACUACAGUGUUCCUCUUACAGGUCCCACCUGCUUGGCUUGAGGCUAAAGAUUUGGGAGCAAAUGCACCAUCACAGAUGGAGGGGCUGUAGCUCACGUGGGUGGGUGGGCAGCACGUGACUGCCCAGGGUCUGUGAAAGCCUCCCACCAGUGAUUCUAUCUGAAAGCCUUUUGCAAUAGAAAAUGGAACAAAUCAGUAUUAAGUUAGGAACAUGCUGUCCUGCCUGGGCACCAGGCCUCCCCAGUGCCAGCUGUAUUGAAUGAGCGAGGCUCCUCUGUGUUGUUGAUGUGUCUCCCUUCUUGCAGCCUCCCUCCACCCAAAGGAGAGUUAGCCAGACCCACACAUUUCUCAUGAAGGGUAAUGCAGGGGUUCCAAACAGCUAAGUAUUACUCCAACGAGUACCACUCGUGUAGAAUUAGGAGCGGGAGGGAGAAAAAACAGAAAAGGAGAGGGAAAGAUGACUAUUACAGUAUUGAAAAAUAAAAGCCUUUUCAUGGUUGUUGUUUUGGAGAUUGGCCAGAUACAACGAAAAGAAAUCGAUCUACUGGCGGGUUUUGUCUGUAAGCUUCUGGAAGGUGUCAAGAUCUUUUCAAUUGUGCCUUGGUUUCAUAGAAUAGCAGGAUAAAAUAAACAUGCCAAACUACUUCAAGAAAAGUCACCCUCCGUACAGCAAUAAUUAACCCCCCAAAGAAUCUCCCACAGAACAAGUUGCAACAUGAUCGUUUAAUCCUCCAGCCACCAGAGGACAGAGGUGCAUCUUCCCUCAGCCUUCUCCUAUGUUCAUGAGGCCCAGUAUACCUCCAGGAGACACUGGGUCAUUUGUUGAAUAAAUCUACCAUCAAAACCCAGAAAGUUUUCUAGGUUCACCGAAUAAAUGUCUGUAGACUGGAAGCCAGGGUGUUCUAGCCCAAGGGUGAGCUUAGCAGAGCCACGGGUGCUCUGCACCUCACUUUUCUCAUGCCUGAAACAAAACUGCAGAGGUGCAUGAUUUCUAGGGUCCUUUCCAGACUGAAGAUUCCCUGGCAGAAAUAAAUGAUAUGGGAAUUAAAUUUUCAUUGGUGAUUUCAUUCAUCCUUUCUCGUUUUGGUGGUGGUUUAUUUGGUUCAUGGGCCCUUAUAGAACGAUAUACCUUGAAAAAUAUUGCAUAAUUCUUCAGGGGGAGAGGCAUUUCUUCUUUGUGACAUUUUCCCAUACUCUAACUUUCCU